GACGAAGAACGCAGCGAAAUGCGAUACGUAAUGUGAAUUGCAGAAUUCAGUGAAUCAUCGAGUCUUUGAACGCACAUUGCGCCCCCUGGUAUUCCGGGGGGCAUGCCUGUCCGAGCGUCAUUGCUGCCCUCAAGCCCGGCUUGUGUGUUGGGUCUCGUCCCCCUUCCCGGGGGGACGGGCCCGAAAGGCAGCGGCGGCACCGCGUCCGGUCCUCGAGCGUAUGGGGCUUUGUCACCCGCUCUGUAGGCCCGGCCGGCGCUUGCCGAUCAACCAAAACUUUUUUCCAGGUUGACCUCGGAUCAGGUAGGGAUACCCGCUGAACUUAAGCAUAUCAAUAAGCGGAGGA
This 346-nucleotide unclassified non-coding RNA is filed under the name soil metagenome. RNAcentral's name for it is "partial contains 5.8S ribosomal RNA, internal transcribed spacer 2, and large subunit ribosomal RNA". The stretch from base 1 to 120 matches the Rfam family "5.8S ribosomal RNA", at positions 35 to 154 of the family's 154-position model. The record is from RNAcentral.